UUGUGGGGUGCUCGAGUGGCGAACGGGUGAGUAACACGUGGGUAACCUGCCCUUGACUUUGGGAUAACUUCAGGAAACUGGGGCUAAUACCGGAUAGGAGCUCCUGCUGCAUGGUGGGGGUUGGAAAGUUUCGGCGGUUGGGGAUGGACUCGCGGCUUAUCAGCUUGUUGGUGGGGUAGUGGCUUACCAAGGCUUUGACGGGUAGCCGGCCUGAGAGGGUGACCGGCCACAUUGGGACUGAGAUACGGCCCAG
RNAcentral lists this ribosomal RNA (253 nucleotides) under uncultured Actinomycetales bacterium. RNAcentral describes it as "partial 16S ribosomal RNA". It matches the Rfam family "Bacterial small subunit ribosomal RNA", at positions 80 to 334 of the family's 1533-position model. The record is from RNAcentral. Lineage: Bacteria; Bacillati; Actinomycetota; Actinomycetes; Actinomycetales.